AUCCCUAUGGUAUAAAAAUCUCUGGUAAUUACUCAGUUGACUGCUCUUGCGUGAAUGAAAAUGUCUUGCCCUGCCCAGGGACGGCGAACAACCUUCGAAAUAACCUUUUCCGAACGAUGUCAGCAGUCAGGAACUUGAGAGCAAAACACGCGAACCAGUAACCAUCAAUCUUGAGGAGAAUUUGGCGACUUAUACAGGAUUCACCCAGUUCUACCGAAGCGAUGUGUAAAUACUCCAAGAUAAAGUUAGUCCCAGGUACUUAAAAGGAUCGUCUUUACCCUUCGGUUGAGAUAACGAACUCUGCUCAACGAGGGACAUUCCUAUAGUAUCGAUGGUGUCAAAUCCGAACCCUCCUCCUCCGGGCUUGGACGACCAGAGAACCUUCUUCAGAAAAAAAAAAACAGACAAAGCCAUCGCAACAGAGACGGACCGGAGGCAGCAUCAUCUUCAUCGUUUCGGGCUCGACGCGACAAGG
RNAcentral lists this long non-coding RNA (475 nucleotides) under Neodiprion pinetum (white pine sawfly). Its description in RNAcentral is "uncharacterized LOC124215639". Lineage: Eukaryota; Metazoa; Arthropoda; Insecta; Hymenoptera; Diprionidae. The record is from RNAcentral.